This 479-nucleotide ribosomal RNA is filed under the name uncultured bacterium. RNAcentral describes it as "partial 16S ribosomal RNA". It matches the Rfam family "Bacterial small subunit ribosomal RNA", at positions 28 to 507 of the family's 1533-position model. The record is from RNAcentral.
GAUGAACGCUAGCGGGAGGCCUAACACAUGCAAGCCGAGCGGUAUUGUUUCUUCGGAAAUGAGAGAGCGGCGUACGGGUGCGUAACACGUGUGCAACCUGCCUUUAUCUGGGGGAUAGCCUUUCGAAAGGAAGAUUAAUACUCCAUAAUAUAUUGAACGGCAUCGUUUAAUAUUGAAAGCUCCGGCGGAUAGAGAUGGGCACGCGCAAGAUUAGCUAGUUGGUGAGGUAACGGCUCACCAAGGCGAUGAUCUUUAGGGGGCCUGAGAGGGUGAUCCCCCACACUGGUACUGAGACACGGACCAGACUCCUACGGGAGGCAGCAGUGAGGAAUAUUGGUCAAUGGGUGCAAGCCUGAACCAGCCAUCCCGCGUGAAGGACGACUGCCCUAUGGGUUGUAAACUUCUUUUGUAUAGGGAUAAACCUACCCUCGAGAGGGUAGCUGAAGGUACUAGACGAAUAAGCACCGGCUAACUACGUG